GACGAACGCUGGCGGCGUGCUUAACACAUGCAAGUCGAGCGGUAAGGCUCCUUCGGGAGUACACGAGCGGCGAACGGGUGAGUAACACGUGAGCAAUCUGCCCUUCUCAUCGGAAUAACCAUUGGAAACGAUGGCUAAUGCCGAAUACGACUUCCUUUCGCAUGUCAGGAAGUGGAAAGCUCCGGCGGAGAAGGAUGAGCUCGCGGCCUAUCAGCUUGUUGGUGAGGUAAGGGCUCACCAAGGCGACGACGGGUAGCCGGCCUGAGAGGGUGACCGGCCACACUGGGACUGAGACACGGCCCAGACUCCGACGGGGGGCAGCAGUGGGGAAUAUUGGACAAUGGGCGAAAGCCUGAUCCAGCAACGCCGCGUGAGGGAUGACGGCCUUCGGGUUGUAAACCUCUUUCAGCAGGGACGAAGCGAAAGUGACGGUACCUGCAGAAGAAGGGCCGGCCACUACGUGCCAGCAGCCGCCGCCG
Molecule: ribosomal RNA, 479 nt
Filed under: uncultured bacterium
Lineage: Bacteria
Description: partial 16S ribosomal RNA
Rfam family: Bacterial small subunit ribosomal RNA
Source: RNAcentral